AACGAACGCUGGCGGCAGGCCUCAAACAUGCAAGUCUAGGGGGUGUAGCAAUACAUCACCGGCGGACGGGUGCGUAACGCGUGGGAAUAUACCUAUCGAUUCGGAACAACUGAGGGAAACUUCAGCUAAUACCGAAUACGUCCUAACGGAGAAAGAUUUAUCGUCGAUAGAUUAGCCCGCGUUCGAUUAGCUAGUUGGUGGGGUAACGGCCCACCAAGGCGACGAUCGAUAGCUGUUCUGAGAGGAAGAUCAGCCACACUGGGACUGAGACACGGCCCAGACUCCUACGGGAGGCAGCAGUUGGGAAUCUUGGACAAUGGGGGAAACCCUGAUCCAGCCAUGCCGCGUGAGUGAUGAAGGCCUUGGGUUGUAAAACUCUUUCGCGCACGACGAUAAUGACGGUAGUGCGAGAAGAAGCUCCGGCUAACUUCGUGCCAGCAGCCGC
This 445-nucleotide ribosomal RNA is filed under the name uncultured bacterium. RNAcentral's name for it is "bacterial SSU rRNA". It matches the Rfam family "Bacterial small subunit ribosomal RNA", at positions 29 to 518 of the family's 1533-position model. The record is from RNAcentral.